Molecule: long non-coding RNA, 1374 nt
Filed under: Apteryx rowi (Okarito brown kiwi)
Lineage: Eukaryota; Metazoa; Chordata; Aves; Apterygiformes; Apterygidae
Description: lncRNA (ENSARWG00000017271.1)
Source: RNAcentral
GCAGCCACACAAAUCCCCCUGGGGUUUAUACUCUGAGAGUCAGAGUAUUACAAAAUCGUUUGAACAACAAACACAAAAUGAGAACACGUGGCCCUUUCUCCCUUCCUUGGAAACAAUGGGAAUUUCUCCAGCUCCUUCAGGAGAGCCAGGAUCUUCCCCUCUGCUACCGCAAGUCCARCUCUAAAGUUCAUGACUCUUCCCUUGCAUUUCAAUUCCAGUAAGCCCCAGCGGGUUGACUCCUUUUGCCAUAACAGAGCACCGAACAGAAAGGAURGAUGUUACAGCUAGAGCACAUGCACCUGGGUUCAGGUCCCGGACCUGAUCCACGUUCCCUGCUUGUCUUUGAGUUCACAGAGAUGAUCAUCAGAUAACUUGCCUUUGUUUCUGGGGCAGACAGGGCAGAGACAUGGGCUGUUUCCACACAGUAUUUCAGAAAAGCCUCUGCUGGUGCCAGACUUGCUCUCGCUGCAACACCAGAAGGAGUUCUGAGAGCUACCCAGCUCGCUYGGGCCAAGCAKACACCCAGAAUCUAUCACUAACUUUUGGAAAAUGGAUCUGUUCCAUUUUAAUCCAACACCUUUAGUGCAAAGAACCUCUCCUACUUCAUGACUCUAAAGGACAGAACAGGGUCUGCCUGGGCCUUAUGCMACUACUUCAUUAGGAACGUUAAAUACCAUAACCUGCRUUUUUCAAAGAGAAGAAAGAGCCUAGAACCAAGUCUCCUUGAGGACAAGAUGGCCCCCCUGGAGGAGCUGACUGCYGUCCAGCUUGMCCACUUAACCCUGUCCCCAGACGCGUUCAGCUCUGUCGCUAACACUGAACAAAUCUUUGACAGASCAUCCAAGCCGCCGGGCCUCAAUGAGUUGGCUGCUUACUGGGAUGAGUUGAACUCUGCUUUAGAGGAGAAUUGCUGGGAUCAACACAGUCUUCUCCAAAAUCCCUGCAGCUGGCAAAAUGGAUGUAUACAACUACACUCUGCAUUUCUCACCCAGAAGUCCGAGGUCCUGCCCGCUAUACCCAAGCCACAGCCAGACACUGGUUGUUACAGUUUCUUGGAAAAAGCUCCAUAGAAGCACCUUACACUCAGUUUCGCUCUACCACCAACCCUUCGAUGCAUGCUCUGUUACCUACAAAGGCUUAAUGAGCUCCUAGCAAGCACAACUGCUGACCCUCGGGGGCUCUGCCCCGGCGCCCUGGGCAGCAAGCUGACGCCCACAGUCACUUGUCCUUGCUCACCCGACACGGGCGCCCGCCUGCCUCUGUGCUGUCACAAGAGGCCAGCGGGGCACAGGGCCCGCAGCGCCCUCAGCCAGCACUCCGGCGGGGACCCUGCACCGUGCACGGACGCCUGCUGAGACUCUCCCACCCACCCGG